This 307-nucleotide small nuclear RNA is filed under the name Microtus ochrogaster (prairie vole). RNAcentral describes it as "7SK RNA (ENSMOCG00000003738.1)". It matches the Rfam family "7SK RNA". From Rfam's summary of the family: 7SK was discovered as an abundant small nuclear RNA in the mid-70s but a possible function has only recently been suggested. Lineage: Eukaryota; Metazoa; Chordata; Mammalia; Rodentia; Cricetidae. The record is from Rfam by way of RNAcentral.
GAAAGACCUGGCUGUGAUAUCUGUUAGCUGUCGAUUGCUAGUGUCAGGUCAGCUGAUCUGACUGGGUAGAGGGGUGUUCCCUUCCUCACUCAUUCUAUGUGCAAGUCUCCUGAAGCUGCGUGCUGGGUUCAAGUGGAAAGUCUUCACAGAUAGCAGAGGGCCUUCUUUAGUUAGGGGUAUUAUAUGAUACAUACUUGUAUUCUCCUGCUAGACAUCGAAAGGGGCUGUCAAAAUCAAAAGCUUUUUACUCAUUAAAAUAUAGUAACAUACGAAGAUAAAUUCAGGAAGGAAAAAAUACAUGUUGUUU